Daphnia carinata is the source of this 1585-nucleotide long non-coding RNA. RefSeq lists it as uncharacterized. The record is from RefSeq and is a predicted model, not a curated record. Lineage: Eukaryota; Metazoa; Arthropoda; Branchiopoda; Diplostraca; Daphniidae. The transcript is spliced from 5 exons.
AUUUUUCCCAGAGCACUGCUUGUGAAAAAGGAAAAGCAAAAUUGGACAGGUUGGUAAGAAAUCUAAAAAGACUUGUUUCAGGUGCAGUUCGAUUGGUGUAACUUAGCCAAUAGAGUUGUCCUACAAAUGAAGGUGAACAAGGUCGUGUCGGUUGCAUUUCUGGUAAUCAGGAAAAUUGCUUGAUUUCAGCUGAAUAAGGGAACCUGGGUUAAGAGGCCCACCUGCAGUACCAUCCCCUAUUUCUGCUCUAUAACAUUCUGGCUUAACUUGCGUCUUUGAUAAACAUCCUGCAUAUUUUGGUGAAAGUGACAUCUUCUGGGCAGAGAACUUGGACUCCACCUAUCCCUUUGGCUGAGCUUAGUGGCUUUUCUGAACACCAUCCAUGCAGGCAGAAGGAAGUAUUAAUGAAAUGAAGAACCAGACUAGAAGAACUCCCGCUCGCAUUUUCUCCGAAGCUUAUCUUCAUCCUCAUUGUCCCUUCACCGGAUGGCGAUAACUAUCGUUUUCAAACUGCUACUUAUUAUGCCAGCAUGUGAAACCCAUGGUGAUUCCAGUUCAGGCCCUUCGAAAACUGAAGUGAAAAUUCCAAAAAUCGACAGAAAAUGAAGUAGAAGGCGAAUGGCAAGAAAAAAAAAUUCGGGAUUCAAUGUCCUACGAAAACCAAAACAGACUAAUGUCUAACUUGGCUGCGUGUUGAGAGUUGAAGAGAAGGGCUGGAACAAGUACCAUGAUGUUCUAACCCAACAAACCGUUGGUGAAAUAGAGUUGCCGCAUUCGCCUGAUAUAGUCAUUGGUAUCCCUUAUCGAAUUUAUCGCGAUUUGAAACCACCCCUACUAGCACUCGGAUCGGUGUGAUGUUCAAUAACUUAAUUUUGGCUAAAUCAUUUGAAUUAUGAACAAACCAGAUGCAACCAAUCUGCCCACUAAUACGAAACCUUCCUGCAUAACUUCGAAUCUUGUUUAGAGAGAUUUGGGCCUGUCAUGCUUCCAGGACCUCUGGUGGAAAAACCAUCAACUCCUUGAUUCUUCUAUGGCAAGUGUCAGUUCAUUUAUCCUGACGUCGAGCGAGGAAUGAACGUCACGCUCAGUGAACUUUAUCUGCCGAUUCCAUGUAUUAUGAGUAAAGGAACAAUAGCUAACAUUUGACAAGAAAAAAAAUUCAAAAAAUGUUUGUGAAUUCUUGAAAGGAUAAGCAUGGCACCAUUUUGGUCUGAUAACCAAUACCUGGUAUGCUGCGUGGCAGCAAGAUUGUUCUGUGAAAAGAUGGAGUGCUCCCACCGUUUACAUUAUUAGUUAUAAAUAAAAUAUCUCUACCGUCAUUCUUGUAUUUUGUGAAUAUAACUUCAUUUGUGUGAAACAAAGAAGUCCAAGAAGAAAAUGGUUGAAUUCCCUGGCAAUGCAAAUCGUCUUAGCCACAUUGUAAAAGGAAAUGAAGAAAAAAUCUUGCCAAAAUUUGCUUUAGGAAAAACAAUGGUAUGUUUGCAGACAAAAAAUUGCUUGUUGUUUUGUAAAAUGGCAUGGAAAAUGACUUAUUCUGCAAUCUUCAUCGAAAACUGGAUUUAACGUCAGACGAGUGAAGUAAACA